AAUUGCACAGCCAUAUCCUCCCUCUCAAAUCCUCACAAAAAUUAACCAAAAAAAAUCCUUAAUUCAUCAAGCACAGCGUAAAAUCACCCAAAUUAAAACUCAAUUCUUGAAAAUUAAGAGAUUAACUCAAAUUAAAAUUAUGUCAAUUAACAAAUCUACGAGGUACAUUUCACAAAUAUGCAACUUGAACCAACAUGCAACAAGGUUGCAUGAACCGUAAACCUGGAAUCUUGAAACCAACGACAAAACUUGAAUGUGCACCAAGAAAAUUUGAACAUAGAAUGCAAGAGAACAUGCUAAAACAUCAGCAUGCAGCUAGGAACUGAAUCAUAGAGGGGCAGAGGACUGAGUCGGUCGCGUGAUGUGACAGCGUAGAUGAAGGUGAUGACUCGAUCGGGAGCCGGGAGGACAGGAAUUGAGGAAGAAGAGGAAGAGCAAGUAUAGCGGAAGAAAAGGAUGGAGGGAUUUGUGCCAUUCGGCUCACAGCUCACAAGGGGAAGAAAAG
Molecule: unclassified non-coding RNA, 505 nt
Filed under: Hevea brasiliensis (rubber tree)
Lineage: Eukaryota; Viridiplantae; Streptophyta; Magnoliopsida; Malpighiales; Euphorbiaceae
Source: RNAcentral